GAUCAUGGCUCAGGACGAACGCUGGCGGCGUGCUUAACACAUGCAAGUCGAACGGAGCACCCUUGAAUGAGGUUUCGGCCAAAGGAAAGGAAUGCUUAGUGGCGGACUGGUGAGUAACGCGUGAGGAACCUGCCUUUCAGAGGGGGACAACAGCUGGAAACGGCUGCUAAUACCGCGUGACGCAUUCGGAUGGCAUCAUCUGAAUGCCAAAGAUUUAUCGCUGAAAGAUGG
This 231-nucleotide ribosomal RNA is filed under the name uncultured bacterium. RNAcentral describes it as "partial 16S ribosomal RNA". It matches the Rfam family "Bacterial small subunit ribosomal RNA", at positions 15 to 228 of the family's 1533-position model. The record is from RNAcentral.